UUUCACGAUAGUUCUGAGAAAACAUCAGAGAAACAACAACAACCAAAAAAUUGCCUUAUUCUCUCGGAACAACAACAACAACACGAAUCUCUCUCGGUUUCUCUCUUCUCACGGUGAACAACAACAGAACUUACUGAGUUUCAACCAUGGUGAUUUUUCAUCUUUAUCAUCACUUCUCUCGCAAAUGUCAACAACAAUUUUUCACUCGGUGCUUUGUAAACAAACAACAACUCCCUCCCUAACGGUUUUCUUCUACCGCGGCCAUGGGAGGAGCUUUGUUUGAAACUCAACCAAUCAAGAACAACAUUAACUUGUAACCCGAUUUCACAAACAGAAGUGAAAAUCCAGAAUAUACACGACAAUAACUAACAGCAAUAUUGAGCGUGAAAGUGGAAGUGACUUACUUACGGCAAGGAGGUGUUCGCCGGAUUCUAUCGAGAUGUAACAAUGGUUAGUGUAAAUAUUGAGAGUGAAGGAAGAGAGACUUACCUGCGGCGAGUUGUGCUUUUGCAAGUGAGAACUGAAUGAUUGCAGCAUCGGUGUUUGAAUCAGCUGCAGGGUGUUGACGGCUCAUCUAUGGAGGCUCGAAGAUGAGAGCCAUCUUUGAAGAGCUGCCAGCAAACAAUAGAGGUAUGAAGACUUCUCUUCUCCCUCUAACUUUUGUAUUUUUUUCUGAAAAAUGUAACUUAGUAGAAGUUACAGAAUUCUUGCUGUGUUCUCCCCACUUUUCUUCUUUUUUUUUAAUUUGUGUGUCUCUCCUCUAUUUAUAGAGGAAAAAGUGAGGGAUAAUUUUGGUCAUUUUUGCACCCAAGCUUAGUCAUUAAGCUCACUUAGUUGUUAAGUUGUCAUCAUGACAAAGAAUAUUCUUUCCCAAAAUGAUCAUUGCAAAAUUUCUUACAUGCUAAGUUUGCUUAAUGGCAAAGCUCCACAAGAAAAUGCACAUGGGAUAGAAUAUUAUGCACAUGUCUUGCAAGUGAAAGUUCCACGACAUAGUCUUGUCUUUAUGUCAUGAAAUUGGUAGUCUCUAAGUAUAGCACUUAUGACAUAAUAUA
This is a long non-coding RNA of Vicia villosa (hairy vetch), 1052 nucleotides long. RefSeq lists it as uncharacterized. The record is from RefSeq and is a predicted model, not a curated record. The transcript has 3 exons. NCBI's taxonomy places the organism in Eukaryota, Viridiplantae, Streptophyta, Magnoliopsida, Fabales, Fabaceae.